GGGAAGAAGCGAGCGAGCGAGUGGGGGCGCGAGGCGUUUACCUGGAGGCAGCGGCUUGGGCGCGCAGAGCGGCCGCGGCUCCCCCGCACCUGCGGCCAUGGAUGAGGAGCGCGCCCUCUACAUCGUCCGGGCCGGCGAGGCGGGGGCUAUCGAGCGGGUCCUGAGGGAUUACAGCGAUAAGCAUAGGGCUACUUUCAAAUUUGAAUCAACAGAUGAAGAUAAAAGAAAGAAACUCUGUGAAGGCAUAUUUAAAGUCCUUUUAAAGGACAUCCCAACAACAUGUCAAGUGUCCUGCCUUGAAGUUCUCCGCAUUCUCUCCAGAGACAAAAAGGUUUUAGUUCCUGUAACAACUAAGGAAAAUAUGCAGAUACUGCUGCGACUAGCCAAGCUAAAUGAGUCGGAUGAUUCUUUGGAGAAGGUGUCAGAGUUCCCAGUUAUUGUGGAGUCAUUAAAAUGUCUUUGUAACAUAGUGUUCAACAGUCAGAUGGCACAGCAGCUCAGCCUGGAACUUAACCUUGCUGCAAAGCUCUGUAACCUCCUGAGAAAGUGCAAGGACCGAAAGUUUAUCAAUGACAUUAAGUGCUUUGACUUGCGCUUGCUCUUCGUCCUGUCACUUUUGCACACCGACAUCAGGUCACAAUUGCGCUAUGAGCUCCAAGGACUACCGCUGCUAACCCAGAUCUUGGAAAGUGCCUUUAGCAUCAAGUGGACCGAUGAAUAUGAAUCGGCCAUAGACCGUAAUGGACCUCCUCUCUCACCUCAGGAGACAGACUGUGCCAUUGAGGCCCUCAAAGCUCUCUUCAAUGUGACGGUAGACAGUUGGAAGGUGCAUAAAGAGGGUGAUUCUCAUCAGUUUCGUGUCAUGGCAGCUGUUCUUCGCCAUUGUUUACUAAUCGUAGGUCCAACUGAAGACAAAACAGAAGAGCUACACAGCAAUGCAGUCAACCUUUUAAGCAAUGUUCCAGUCUCUUGUUUGGAUGUUCUCAUUUGUCCAUUAACCCAUGAAGAAACAGCCCCAGAAGCAAGGACGCUAGAUGAACUGCCCAGUGAUAAAACAGCUGAGAAAGAAACAGUUUUGAAAAAUAAUACCAUGGUAUACAAUGGUAUGAAUAUGGAGGCCAUUCAUGUUUUACUUAGUUUUAUGGAGAAGAGAAUAGACAAGGGAAGCAGCUAUAGAGAGGGUCUAACUCCAGUUCUCAGCUUAUUAACAGAAUGUUCCCGAGCCCAUCGAAACAUCAGAAAAUUUCUCAAAGAUCAGGUUUUACCACCAUUAAGGGAUGUGACAAAUCGACCUGAAGUUGGCUCAACUGUGAGAAAUAAGCUGGUGCGCCUCAUGACACAUGUUGACCUGGGAGUCAAGCAAAUUGCUGCUGAAUUCCUUUUUGUCCUUUGCAAAGAGAGAGUGGAUAGCCUGCUGAAAUACACUGGCUAUGGGAAUGCUGCAGGACUGUUGGCGGCCAGGGGCCUCUUGGCUGGAGGAAGAGGAGAUAAUUGGUACUCAGAGGACGAGGACACAGACACUGAAGAAUACAAAAAUGCAAAACCAAACAUUAAUCUUAUCACUGGUCAUUUAGAGGAACCAAUGCCAAACCCCAUAGAUGAAAUGACAGAAGAACAAAAAGAAUAUGAAGCCAUGAAACUUGUCAACAUGCUUGAUAAACUUUCCAGGAGAGCAGAUGUGAACGACCUGCACCAGGAUGGUGGUUAGCAACAGUGGCCCGUGCCAAAGCACUUACCAAAGUGAUGACUAAGACCCUGUCAUUAAUUCCAUGUGUCAAUACUGCCCUGUAGUACACAGAGCAGACAAGAAAGAAGAGCCCUUGAAAACAAGGGAAUGAUUUUUGAGUCGUUAUCAAGCUAAGUGGCAAGCGGGAAGCUGAAACUCGUAUAGUUGAACAUUCUUGGAGGCUUAUCUCUUCCCUGGCCAGAUGCCUGAUCAGAUGAGAAGCCCGCCAUGAUACUGUCACAGUGCCUAGAAUGGGCUCUUUAUCCAGUAGACAUCACUGUACUUUUUGAUGAUAACGAGGGCAGUCUUAACUUGUGUUAAGGCCUGUGUAUAGCAUUGAAGAGAGGAGUUGCUUAAACCAAUGGGACUAAAACCUGAUGGGACAAUAACGCCUUUGGAGGAAGCACUCAACCAGUACUCUGUCAUCGAGGAGACCAGCUCUGACACAGACUAAAAGCAUCACCUGCUCAACUCUCAGUAUUGCUUUUAUCAGCAUCUUUUCUCUGUAGCUCCAGGGGAAUCUUUUCUCUAAAACAUUUAUGCCCUUGCUUUGGCUAGAAACACAUUAACUGGUUUACUCAUUGAGAAUCCAGCAUAUUUAAGAAGUGAUCCUGUGUUUUGCGAUAUUGAGGCAUUCAUACAGAGCUGCAGUUAGACGGAGUUGCAGAGACUAGGAACAGGAAAAAAAAAAUUCCAUUUUGUCAAGAUGGAACUGAAGGACUUCACUCUAUAAAGCAGCCCUGGUUGAAUCUGGCAGUUCUGUUUGCCAAGAUUCUAAAGAAGAUUUAGCCGUGUCCUUCCUCUCACUUGUGUGAGCUGCCCUUUCUGAAUCUCUCCAGAGACAGAGGCAUGUGAGAAGCAGAACGAGCUGCUAAAAAGGGGCUGAGGCAAGUGACUUGUUAGAUCAGGACUGAGUGAAUGGAAGCCAAGCAGCAGCUGCUCCAUAAACAUAGCCCCACUCUUCAUUUCAAUUUUGUAUAAAUCUAUAGAAAUGCACACACACGCACACACACACAACAGCCCCAGACUUGCAAACUGAUUACAUUCAAAAAGUUUGUAUGUCAGUUAUCUAGAACUUCAGAAUACAUUUCUCCCUAUAAAGUUAUAAAUGAUGGUUUAGUUCUGAGGCAGCUACAAAUGCCUAUUUAUUCCCUAAUAACCUGAACACUAGUACCAUAGAACUGAACCCCCAUCUGUAUCACUGCAUGGGGAACAUGCAUUCUGAGGUCUAACAUAGGGGUGCCUCCAACCUGGUAGAGGGAAUGGGGACCCCCUGGGUACGGGGGGGCCUUUUGAGCCCUCUGCUGAGGGUGGGGGAGUCAGCAGCACCCAUUUGUACAUAUAGGUCACUCAUAUGUCACAUGUUUUAAAUUGGGGACUGUGUGUGCUUGUGUGUGUGUCCUACCUUUCUACCAUAUGUGAUCAGUUUAAUGGUAACUUUAUUUAUUUAAAAAAGAAACACAAAUAGUUACUGUUAAACUGAUUAAGCCUGUUUAUUUUUACUUUUAGAAUUGGUCAUAUGACGAAGUAGAAAAUGAAUCAUGCAAAUAGACAGUGGGCCUAGUUAAUCAAUGGCUAAAGUUGAAAAGGGGUUGGUUUCCUUUUAUAUAUAUAUAUGUAUGUAUAUACAUAUAUAUAUAUAUACACACAUAAUGUGCUUAACCACUGCCUUUUAAAACUUUAAAUUAAAUAAAACAUUGGGGUUGAUUCAAUUUAGCUAUCUGUGUGUGUUUCUUUAUAGAUACGUGGGGUAAACAAUCCUAUUUCACAGUUUAUGCUUUUUUAAAGUGCUUUUACAUCUGUUAUCUCACUUAUAAUAAAUAGCCUUUCUAAGGAUAAAGUACAUGAAGUAUUAGUGAAAAUGUCAUUUAUCCAGAAGUCACUUCUCUGGCAAAAGUACAAAUCAGGAAUUCAGUUUUAAAAAGCCUUAGAGCUGCCAAAAGAGAUGGCAAAGUUUCUUACAAUUUAUUUAUAGGAGAGAUCCUCAAGAAUCUCACCUUGUGCCUCUUUACUAAAAUUUGCAUAUACUUCUAACAUGUUUAGUUAUCUGACUUCCAAGCCCACAAAAAAAUGGCAAAGGAGGCGGCUGUUAGAUGGAAAGCAGACCUACUGAAAGCAGCAAAAAGCCAACUGAAAACCGGAUAGGAAUGUGGGGAGAAUGAAAACUACUCAAGGCGUCAUAAGUCUGGGACCAUCUGUUUCCUAAAGGACAUUCUAGUUGACCCAGAAAGUAUCUGUACAACAGUAUGGCCUAUAAACUAUUCUCAUAACGAUGACCUUGUGUUUCUUUUAAAAAAUAAGAAUACUCUAUAAAAAGACUAGGAAGAAUACAUUUUAGGAUUUUUUAUCCAAAAUAGUUGGGAGUAUAAGUUAUGUGUGACCCAUGUUUUAACAGUAAAUAAAAUGAAACUUGGUAAUUCAUAAUUUUAGAUUAAAUGAAAAAAAGUUUAGAAAAAAGAAUUUAAGUAUUUUUGUUACUUCAUUCUACAAAUGCAUUUUUAAAGUAUUUUUAUAAUUUCUGCAAUUAAAUAGCUUUGGCAUGAGUGUCGGCUUACCUAAAUGAAGACAUGUUUAAUGAAAUACCAUCUUGCCAGCUUUAUGCAGAGUGUUUGAACAGUCCUGUUUAAGUAGCUGUGCUCUUCUGCUUUCAAUGAGUUCUGUUUCAUUUUGAGUUUCCCCAUACUGGGCACUAAGCUUUGUUUUGAAGAGAGAAUUUGCAGAGGGAGAAGAUGAAAGUGACCUCAUCUUGCACACGGAAAAGAGAACUAACAUCUGUUGAUUGCUUGCUCUGUGCUGGGCUUUUUAUGUAUCUUAUCUUGUGUAAAGUCAUCACAUCUCAUAUUAAGAGAUCAUCUCUGGAAAGCAGAGUAAGUUACCUAACAUCACAGAGCAAGUAAAAAUCCAACUCUGGCCGGCCUGACCCCCAGCACCUCUCCUUACCCUUCAUGCUGCCCACCUGGGUCCAUGUUGUGCCCCCUUAUGACUCUGGAAUGCUGGGAGAGUGGUAAUUCUCAGGCCAUUUUAAGCAAUAACUAUUUCAGCAGAACUGGUUUAAAGAACUUAUUAAACAGGGAGGUGACCUGAAUGAAGUUGAAGUGUGAGUAGGAAACUUGCUCAGUUAGUACUGGAUUUCAAAUAAGGAAGGACCUGGAAUCCUUUAGGUCAGAGAUGAGGGCUGCAGGCUCUCCCCCAGCCCCCGUGCCCCAACCACCCUGACCCUCGACAUCUACCUGGCUCGGUGGCCUGCAGUGGGGAUGGUGAGAAUAUACUGGCCAACUGCACUCUGCAGGCCCCUGUGUCCACAUCCCUCCCAACCUUUAAAACAGGGUAUGGAGGAGCGGGUUCUAAAAUAAGGCACUUGAGCUGCUGCUUUAGAGUAACAGUCAACAGACACUUGAGGCCCCUUCACACACCGGGUGGUCCUAGCAAGUGCACAGGAUGGGUGUUAUUGUCCCUCCUUUAUAAAUGAAGACAUAGGCAGAGGCAGUACAAGUACUCAACAUCCCCUUACUACCAUCAGUCUUGCCGCCUCCCAGUACUAGGUGUCUCUUAUAUUGACCUCCCUUCCCCUCCCCCCCAUUAUAAAAGUAAUAUAUGUUCAUUGUGGAAAGUUUGGAGAAUACAGGAAAUAAUAAAGUUAAUAAUUCACCCCAAAACCCAC
Molecule: RNA transcript, 5387 nt
Organism: Lagenorhynchus albirostris (white-beaked dolphin)
Lineage: Eukaryota; Metazoa; Chordata; Mammalia; Artiodactyla; Delphinidae
Gene: RIC8B
Gene name: RIC8 guanine nucleotide exchange factor B
Exons: 13
Source: RefSeq, a predicted model, not a curated record